Molecule: ribosomal RNA, 422 nt
Filed under: uncultured archaeon
Lineage: Archaea
Description: bacterial SSU rRNA
Rfam family: Archaeal small subunit ribosomal RNA
Source: RNAcentral
GCUGUCCGCCAGUGUAAAUAACUGGUGAAGAAAGGGCCGGGCAAGACCGGUGCCAGCCGCCGCGGUAAUACCGGCGGCUCGAGUGGUGGCCACUAUUACUGGGCUUAAAGCGUCCGUAGCUGGAUUGUUAAGUCUCUUGGGAAAUCCACCGGCUCAACCGAUGGGCGUUCAGGAGAAACUGGCAAUCUAGGGACCGGGAGAGGUGAGAGGUACUCCAGGGGUAGGAGUGAAAUCCUGUAAUCCUUGGGGGACCACCUGUGGCGAAGGCGUCUCACUAGAACGGCUCCGACAGUGAGGGACGAAAGCUGGGGGAGCAAACCGGAUUAGAUACCCGGGUAGUCCCAGCUGUAAACGAUGCGCGUUAGGUGUAUCGGUGACCACGAGUCAUCGAGGUGCCGAAGGGAAACCGUGAAACGUGCCGC